RNAcentral lists this long non-coding RNA (1415 nucleotides) under Numida meleagris (helmeted guineafowl). RNAcentral's name for it is "lncRNA (ENSNMEG00000003980.1)". The record is from RNAcentral. Lineage: Eukaryota; Metazoa; Chordata; Aves; Galliformes; Numididae.
GGGCCCCUGCUCCCAGCCCCGCACAGACUGCAUUGGUUUAUGGAGUUCUUCAAAGAUCAAAUGUGGGGAAAGGUUGAGGGACAGUGGCUGUUUGUUGUGGAUUUACUGCGAGGGCAAAUCUCCUCCUUGUGUACAGAGGUUCUCAACUCAGGCAUGGGCUGGUGAACCCCGAGACACCAGUUUAGAGGCAAUCACUGGCUGGUAAAGGGAAGCAGAAGAGAUCCCUUAACAGAGAAGUGAGAGUUUUGUACACAUAUUUCUCAGUCACGUGUUCUCUGUGCACUUUUCCGUUAUGCUUUAUGGAGGGGUGAGAGCAGCCAGAAAUCAGCAGUCAGCCAGCAUCAUCCACUGCAUUUCAUCCUCAGGUGUGUAGAAAUGUGGAUGUAAGCGACGUAACAUUGCCACACAGUUAAAUAUUUACUCUCUUUAAUAUCUGAGGUUAAAUGCAUUGCAAAGGGAUAUGAUACUUGCUCUUCUUUAACACAAUCUGCCCUUCUUAAAGCAGAACUGCUCUGUGCAGUGCCAUCACCUAGCUGCAGUUCUGGGCUCAGCAGUACCACCAUGGUUCUUGCCAUUGCUCAGGGUGCCAACUCCUCUUGCACCUUGCACCCCACAGCAGUGCACAGCAGGCUGCAGGCUGGGCCUUCCUGGGGAGCAGUGCACAGCAGGCUGCAGGCUGCGCCUUCCCUGGGAGCAGUGUGCAGCACACUGCUGCCUUUGCUGCAAACUAUCGGCACAGAGCCGGUGGUUCUCUUCUGCUGGUGCAUGGCAGACUUCUGUCCAGCUGCUUUUUACGAAGCCGAUCUAAAAGGCUUUCUGAAAGAAAACUGAACUCACACAGACAAAGACUGAUUCUUCAUCCGCCUGACAUGUCACGCCAACAAAUGGGUUUUUGUGCACUCUGUCAGUGUCUUAAUCAGAGUGUCACGCCAGCCCGCAGCACCUCCGCAGCUCGGAAACCUUUCCCAACACUUAAUCCUUCAACUUGUAUACGUUGUACAGACAUUCAGAUGAGGGCCGAUAAUACGGGAGAUUUACAUGUUUCUGUCAUCGCCGAGAUUUGUCACACAUCAUAACGGGCGGCCUCCCCACACCGGGGCCGGGCAGCGCGGUGGGCUCAGCAAGGGGAAGGAGCAGCUUCGUCUGCUCUGCUGGGGGCAUUUGCUCCGUGUCGCCCGUCAUCGGUUGGGUCCCACCUGAUGGGUCUCAUCUAAUGGCUCCCACCUGACAGCCAGGAGGCUGAUAGGGGAGCAUGGAUUGUGCCCAGCUGUGUUCCUUGCCCAUGUGCCACCCGCCCUGGCCUGUGCUGCUGUGCCCAACCCUGCAGUUUCUUUAAAGAUAGAAGUAUAGGAUCGUAGAAUCACCAAGGUUGGAAGAGUCCUCCAAGAUCAUCCAGUCCAACUGUCUGCCUAUCA